RNAcentral lists this ribosomal RNA (2902 nucleotides) under Escherichia coli E482. Its description in RNAcentral is "bacterial LSU rRNA". It matches the Rfam family "Bacterial large subunit ribosomal RNA". RNAcentral also lists the same sequence under 1 other name. Lineage: Bacteria; Pseudomonadati; Pseudomonadota; Gammaproteobacteria; Enterobacterales; Enterobacteriaceae. The record is from RNAcentral.
UUAAGCGACUAAGCGUACACGGUGGAUGCCCUGGCAGUCAGAGGCGAUGAAGGACGUGCUAAUCUGCGAUAAGCGUCGGUAAGGUGAUAUGAACCGUUAUAACCGGCGAUUUCCGAAUGGGGAAACCCAGUGUGUUUCGACACACUAUCAUUAACUGAAUCCAUAGGUUAAUGAGGCGAACCGGGGGAACUGAAACAUCUAAGUACCCCGAGGAAAAGAAAUCAACCGAGAUUCCCCCAGUAGCGGCGAGCGAACGGGGAGCAGCCCAGAGCCUGAAUCAGUGUGUGUGUUAGUGGAAGCGUCUGGAAAGGCGCGCGAUACAGGGUGACAGCCCCGUACACAAAAAUGCACAUGCUGUGAGCUCGAUGAGUAGGGCGGGACACGUGGUAUCCUGUCUGAAUAUGGGGGGACCAUCCUCCAAGGCUAAAUACUCCUGACUGACCGAUAGUGAACCAGUACCGUGAGGGAAAGGCGAAAAGAACCCCGGCGAGGGGAGUGAAAAAGAACCUGAAACCGUGUACGUACAAGCAGUGGGAGCACGCUUAGGCGUGUGACUGCGUACCUUUUGUAUAAUGGGUCAGCGACUUAUAUUCUGUAGCAAGGUUAACCGAAUAGGGGAGCCGAAGGGAAACCGAGUCUUAACUGGGCGUUAAGUUGCAGGGUAUAGACCCGAAACCCGGUGAUCUAGCCAUGGGCAGGUUGAAGGUUGGGUAACACUAACUGGAGGACCGAACCGACUAAUGUUGAAAAAUUAGCGGAUGACUUGUGGCUGGGGGUGAAAGGCCAAUCAAACCGGGAGAUAGCUGGUUCUCCCCGAAAGCUAUUUAGGUAGCGCCUCGUGAAUUCAUCUCCGGGGGUAGAGCACUGUUUCGGCAAGGGGGUCAUCCCGACUUACCAACCCGAUGCAAACUGCGAAUACCGGAGAAUGUUAUCACGGGAGACACACGGCGGGUGCUAACGUCCGUCGUGAAGAGGGAAACAACCCAGACCGCCAGCUAAGGUCCCAAAGUCAUGGUUAAGUGGGAAACGAUGUGGGAAGGCCCAGACAGCCAGGAUGUUGGCUUAGAAGCAGCCAUCAUUUAAAGAAAGCGUAAUAGCUCACUGGUCGAGUCGGCCUGCGCGGAAGAUGUAACGGGGCUAAACCAUGCACCGAAGCUGCGGCAGCGACGCUUAUGCGUUGUUGGGUAGGGGAGCGUUCUGUAAGCCUGUGAAGGUGUGCUGUGAGGCAUGCUGGAGGUAUCAGAAGUGCGAAUGCUGACAUAAGUAACGAUAAAGCGGGUGAAAAGCCCGCUCGCCGGAAGACCAAGGGUUCCUGUCCAACGUUAAUCGGGGCAGGGUGAGUCGACCCCUAAGGCGAGGCCGAAAGGCGUAGUCGAUGGGAAACAGGUUAAUAUUCCUGUACUUGGUGUUACUGCGAAGGGGGGACGGAGAAGGCUAUGUUGGCCGGGCGACGGUUGUCCCGGUUUAAGCGUGUAGGCUGGUUUUCCAGGCAAAUCCGGAAAAUCAAGGCUGAGGCGUGAUGACGAGGCACUACGGUGCUGAAGCAACAAAUGCCCUGCUUCCAGGAAAAGCCUCUAAGCAUCAGGUAACAUCAAAUCGUACCCCAAACCGACACAGGUGGUCAGGUAGAGAAUACCAAGGCGCUUGAGAGAACUCGGGUGAAGGAACUAGGCAAAAUGGUGCCGUAACUUCGGGAGAAGGCACGCUGAUAUGUAGGUGAAGUCCCUCGCGGAUGGAGCUGAAAUCAGUCGAAGAUACCAGCUGGCUGCAACUGUUUAUUAAAAACACAGCACUGUGCAAACACGAAAGUGGACGUAUACGGUGUGACGCCUGCCCGGUGCCGGAAGGUUAAUUGAUGGGGUUAGCGCAAGCGAAGCUCUUGAUCGAAGCCCCGGUAAACGGCGGCCGUAACUAUAACGGUCCUAAGGUAGCGAAAUUCCUUGUCGGGUAAGUUCCGACCUGCACGAAUGGCGUAAUGAUGGCCAGGCUGUCUCCACCCGAGACUCAGUGAAAUUGAACUCGCUGUGAAGAUGCAGUGUACCCGCGGCAAGACGGAAAGACCCCGUGAACCUUUACUAUAGCUUGACACUGAACAUUGAGCCUUGAUGUGUAGGAUAGGUGGGAGGCUUUGAAGUGUGGACGCCAGUCUGCAUGGAGCCGACCUUGAAAUACCACCCUUUAAUGUUUGAUGUUCUAACGUUGACCCGUAAUCCGGGUUGCGGACAGUGUCUGGUGGGUAGUUUGACUGGGGCGGUCUCCUCCUAAAGAGUAACGGAGGAGCACGAAGGUUGGCUAAUCCUGGUCGGACAUCAGGAGGUUAGUGCAAUGGCAUAAGCCAGCUUGACUGCGAGCGUGACGGCGCGAGCAGGUGCGAAAGCAGGUCAUAGUGAUCCGGUGGUUCUGAAUGGAAGGGCCAUCGCUCAACGGAUAAAAGGUACUCCGGGGAUAACAGGCUGAUACCGCCCAAGAGUUCAUAUCGACGGCGGUGUUUGGCACCUCGAUGUCGGCUCAUCACAUCCUGGGGCUGAAGUAGGUCCCAAGGGUAUGGCUGUUCGCCAUUUAAAGUGGUACGCGAGCUGGGUUUAGAACGUCGUGAGACAGUUCGGUCCCUAUCUGCCGUGGGCGCUGGAGAACUGAGGGGGGCUGCUCCUAGUACGAGAGGACCGGAGUGGACGCAUCACUGGUGUUCGGGUUGUCAUGCCAAUGGCACUGCCCGGUAGCUAAAUGCGGAAGAGAUAAGUGCUGAAAGCAUCUAAGCACGAAACUUGCCCCGAGAUGAGUUCUCCCUGACUCCUUGAGAGUCCUGAAGGAACGUUGAAGACGACGACGUUGAUAGGCCGGGUGUGUAAGCGCAGCGAUGCGUUGAGCUAACCGGUACUAAUGAACCGUGAGGCUUAACCUU